GAAUUUAAACCUCUUCCAGAGUAUCAAUUGGAGGGCAAGUCUGGUGCCAGCAGCCGCGGUAAUUCCAGCUCCAAUAGCGUAUAUUAAAAUUGUUGCAGUUAAAAAGCUCGUAGUUGAAUUUCUGCUGCAUUGCUUUUGCUCCUUUACGAGUCUUUGCAUUGUGGCUUAUUUCGGACUUUGUUUUACAAUGUCCGGAUGUUUACUUUGAGAAAAUUAGAGUGCUCAAAGCAGGCUUUCGCCUUGAAUAGUUUAGCAUGGAAUAAUAAAGUAGGACUUUGGUUCUAUUUUGUUGGUUUUAGGUACCAAAGUAAUGGUUAAUAGGAACAGUUGGGGGCAUUCGUAUUUAACUGUCAGAGGUGAAAUUCUUAGAUUUGUUAAAGACGAACUACUGCGAAAGCAUUUGCCAAGGAUGUUUUCAUUAAUCAAGAACGAAAGUUAGGG
This 441-nucleotide ribosomal RNA is filed under the name Theileria ovis. RNAcentral describes it as "SSU rRNA". It matches the Rfam family "Eukaryotic small subunit ribosomal RNA", at positions 521 to 995 of the family's 1831-position model. Lineage: Eukaryota; Apicomplexa; Aconoidasida; Piroplasmida; Theileriidae. The record is from RNAcentral.